RNAcentral lists this long non-coding RNA (1401 nucleotides) under Numida meleagris (helmeted guineafowl). Its description in RNAcentral is "lncRNA (ENSNMEG00000021198.1)". The record is from RNAcentral. Lineage: Eukaryota; Metazoa; Chordata; Aves; Galliformes; Numididae.
AUCACAAAACCCUUUGGUGCUAUUCAUGACUCGGCAUUAAAAACAAACAACCCCCCUUUUUUUCCGCCUGCAACCCACAUUCGCGCUGCGUCCCGGCGGCAGAGCCCUCCGUCCCAGGGCCACCAGCUUCAGCCGCGGCCUGGCGGCAGAUCCGGGCGCUGCCUUACCCUGGGAGCGAACUUGGGCGAAGGGCCGUGCCCCGCCGAGCAGCCCGAGCUCCCCCUCGCCUGGCUCCAGCUGCAGGGCGUGUGUCGUUUGCACGGAGCGGUUUCGAGACUUCCUGUUCGGAAGCAUCCUAAACACAACAGAACCCGCGCCUUUUUCGCGUGUUGUUUUUCCCUCCUCACCAUCCCUGGCAGCCGGGCUGAACUCUCCGCCUGCGUUUUUCCGCAGCAGCGCUCGGUACGCCGCGUGGGAACCCAGCGCCGCCGGGGCACCGCCAGCACCUCCAGCCUCCCGCUGCUGGAGGGAUCCAUCAGUCCGUCUUCUGCACCCCCCCGGAGCCCGUCGUGCCGAGCAAGCAGCGGUGCCCGGCGGGAGAGCUCGGCCCUGCACAGCCGCCUUUGUCUGCGGACGGAGAGCAACCCGGGGCCAGACUCCACCCGGCCCGGCCCCGGCCGGCACACGAGCGGGACGGAGGGCGGCACCACGGCAGCAGCACGGGGAAGUUUUCAGCAGAGCCCACGCUCCCCCACGGCACGUGGCCGCCUCCCGCUCCCGUCCCGUCGCGCCGCCCCACCCGGCGCCCCCACCGCGGCCUGGCAGCGCCCCCGCCCCGCGCGGGGCUCGGGAUGCUCCGAGCGACUUCCGCGGGGCACAAAGCGCGGACGCCGCCCCCCCGGCUCCGCCGUUCCCGUUAGCUCCGGCGCCAACGCUUCUGAUUCCACGUUUUGUGUUUUUUUUUUUAAUUCCGUUUUUUUUUUUUUUUUCCUCGCCCCCCCCCCCCCCCCCCCCCGCAGAGCAAGCACGGAGAAGGACCCGCUUCCGCGGAGCGGCGGGUGUGGGGGGGGGGGUCGCGAAGCUGCAGUAGCCAUGCCAAUGCCGAUUGCAUCAUGCUCUUCGGGAGGCGAUCUGGGGGGAAAACCCCGGCUCAGCUCCCGCCGCCCCCAGCCCGCCGCACGGCUGCCGCCCCCAGCCCGGCCGCCGCCACACCGACCACCCCGCGCCCUUCUUCCUCCUCCUCCUCCUCCUUCUCCUCUUCCUCCCGGGCACGGACAGCCGCAACCCAGCCCGGCGGCCCUACCUGACGGCGCGGCGGGCUGCGGGCGGCGGCGGCACCGGCCGGCUCUGGCACGCUGCGGGGCCGCGGGGGGCGGGGACGGGGGCGGGCGCGGGGCGGUGGGGCUCCAGAGCCCCGCACCCGCCCCCGUCCCCGCCCCCCAUGGGCUGAUCGUGACGUAA